UCCGUAGGUGAACCUGCGGAAGGAUCAUUGUCGAAACCCGAACGGACGACCGCAAACCCGUAAACGCUCCCGCAGGGGCGGAGGGAGGGCGGAUAUUCCGACCGCCCGACCCCGCACCUCAGGGCACAAUGGCCGCCCCCGCAUCGCUGCAGGACGGGCGACGGUAACAACACCCGGCGUGGUGGGCGCCAAGGAACAGUGCUAUCAGAGAGCGCCGCGUGCCGGCCUCGGCGCGUAGCACGGUCUUUCCAUAUGUCGAACUUUUACAACUCUCGGCAACAGAUAACUUGGCUCUCGCAUCGAUGAAGAACGUAGCGAAAUGUGAUACUUGGUGUGAAUUGCAGAAUCCCGUGAACCAUCGAGUCUUUGAAUGCAAGUUGCGUCCGAGACUAUCCGGCCGAGGGCACGCCUACCUGGGCAUCACGCCUCGCAUCGCCUGCGCACCCUGCCCCACAUCCUGGGAAGGCGGCAGGUGCGGAUGCGGAGAUUGGCCCCCGUGCCUGACGGCGCAGCGGGUCAAAGCGCGUGCCGCCGGCUGGGACGGACGCGACGACUGGUGGACGGACACGUGCGAGGCUUAACGUUGCCUCCACCCCCCAGCCCCGGCGGUGCAUGCAAGGAACCCACGCCGAGCACCCAUCGGAACAUGAUUCUAGAUCAGGCGGGGCCACCCGCUGUGCUUAAGCAUAUCAAUAAGCGGAG
RNAcentral lists this ribosomal RNA (702 nucleotides) under Ophiopogon japonicus. Its description in RNAcentral is "eukaryotic LSU rRNA". The stretch from base 268 to 423 matches the Rfam family "5.8S ribosomal RNA". Lineage: Eukaryota; Viridiplantae; Streptophyta; Magnoliopsida; Asparagales; Asparagaceae. The record is from RNAcentral.